Molecule: ribosomal RNA, 551 nt
Filed under: uncultured archaeon
Lineage: Archaea
Description: bacterial SSU rRNA
Rfam family: Archaeal small subunit ribosomal RNA
Source: RNAcentral
CGGGGUGCACCAGGCGCGAAAACUCCACACUGUACGACAGUACGAUGGGGUUAUCUCGAGUGCAGUCCGAUAAGGGCUGCUUUUCCAUAGAGUAAUAUCCUGUGGGAAUAAGAGGGGGGCAAGACUGGUGUCAGCCGCCGCGGUAACACCAGCCCCUCGAGUGGUGGGGACUAUUAUUUGGUCUAAAGCGUCCGUAGCUGGCUGUAUCCGUCCCCCGUUAAAUCCAGCGUCCUAAGCGUUGGACUGCGGGUGAUACCAUACAGCUAGAGGGUGGGAUAGGUGAGCGGUAUUUCUGGGGUAGGGGCGAAAUCCUUUGAUCCCAGGAGGACCACCAGUGGCGAAGGCUGCUCACUAGAACACGCCUGACGGUCAGGGACGAAAGCUGGGGCAGCGAACCGGAUUAGAUACCCGGGUAGUCCCAGCUGUAAACGAUGCCAGCUAGGUGUUGGGUCGGCCACGCGCCGCCCCAGUGCCGCAGGGAAGCCGUUAAGCUGGCCACCUGGGGAGUACGGCCGCAAGGCUGAAACUUAAAGGAAUUGGCGGGGGAGCAC